UAAUUAUGAAGAGGAUAGUUUCUGAGCAUGCCUUUGAAUGUCUCCCAAGCUUGGUAAAGAUUUUCUCCAUCUUUCUAUUUUAAACUUAAUAUCUUACUCCUCAAUCA
Capsicum annuum is the source of this 107-nucleotide non-coding RNA. The record is from Rfam. Lineage: Eukaryota; Viridiplantae; Streptophyta; Magnoliopsida; Solanales; Solanaceae.